This 63-nucleotide non-coding RNA is filed under the name Sus scrofa (pig). The record is from RNAcentral. Lineage: Eukaryota; Metazoa; Chordata; Mammalia; Artiodactyla; Suidae.
UGUGGUACAGGGAGUAAAGGCCAGUUGUAUUCUUGCACAGGGCUAACUCCCGUGUACUGCACU